Molecule: long non-coding RNA, 2379 nt
Organism: Hibiscus syriacus
Lineage: Eukaryota; Viridiplantae; Streptophyta; Magnoliopsida; Malvales; Malvaceae
Exons: 6
Source: RefSeq, a predicted model, not a curated record
UUGAAGAUUUCUCUGGAACGCUUUUUCUGGCACCUCUUGAUCCAAUGCUUGCAUUUAAAAACCUUGUUGAACUGCACUAUCAUAAUUACUAUACUGAUGAUCAAGGAACGUGGAUUGUAAAGCUUCUACAUUGCAUACCUAAUCUAAAGACACUUAAACUUUGUCUGGAAAUUAAUUCGGAAGGUUUCACAUCAUUGCCUACAGCAGUGCCUUUGUGUUUGUUAUUUCACAUCAAAGAGAUUAAAAUCAUAUACUUUGACGGAAAUGAGCAUACAUUUGAAAUGAUUAGUUAUUUCUUGAAACAUGCAUCAGUUCUGGAGAAGCUUGUAUUUACAAUUAUUGAUCCAUGGAAGAAAGAAGAAUCAGAUAUCAUUGAAAAACUAUCGAGUUUACCGAAGAAAUCAAAGAAAUGUGAAAUCGUGACUCCCUAAUAUUUCAUUUUGUCUCUUCUAUUUUGUAUUGUUUUAGAGAAACUUCAUUGUCUCGAUUCGUUUGGUUUCGCAUAACACUUUUUUGUUGCAAGUAGCAAAUGCUGUGAUAUUAUUGACAUUGUUUUACAGUUUCAAUUAUACUUAUCAAAAUGUGAUACAACUUGCACUAGUAAACACUUCUUAUGUUUGCCUGAUAGAAUCUGUUGGUGACUCUGAUAGAAAAAGUAAUUUGCCUGAUCAUUUUCUUUGCCGUAUGUUGUCCUUCCUUUCCAUUAAAGAUACAGUUCUAAUAUCAAUUGUUUCACCCAGGUGGAGGUAUCUUUCUGCUUCAUCUAUUUCUAUCCUUGAUUUUAAUGGUUGCUUAUGUGUAUGUCAAAGCCUAUCGAAAACGAUAACAACUUCCUGAAUUUUGUCGAUAGAUUCUUUUCCAACCCCAAGCAGGUUUGUCAAGAAUUCUUGAGGGUGAAUGAGCAGUGGGUGAGGAAGGAUGGAAUUCAAUAGGCUUGACAGUAAUUGGGAGAGAAUUACGGAGGCAACCCUGAUUCACAGAGGAGGAGAGGCCGUACUAAGUUAGGGGUAAACGAAGAGUAGAAGAGCUAUGCAUUAAAGUGGCAACUAAUUGCGGAGCUGAAGGAUUUUUUGUCAGUAAAACACUAGAAGAAAAGGGGAAGGAAGAAGAAAAAUCGCUGCAGCUUGAAGAAAGGUAUGGUUUUGGAUAACUUAGUGUCUGAUUCUGGAAUUUGAUACAGAGAUAGCGUAAUUAUAGAAUAGUUGAGUUGGAGGAACUGUUGAAAUCAGAUACAUGGGCGAGCAAGUAGAGUCUGUUGGCGACUUCGAUAGAAUAAGUAGUUUGCCCGAUCAUAUUCUGUCAUAUUUUGUCGCUCCUUCCCAUCAAAGAUAUAGUUCGAACUUCAAUUAUUUCACUCAGGCCGUGGAGGUAUCUCUAUGCUUCCUCAGUGUCUAUCAUCGAUUUUAAUGAUUGUUUAUCACGUGUCUCAGCGCCUAGUAAAAAUGAUAACAACUUUCUGAAUUUUGUUGACAGAUUGUUUUCUAACCCCAAGCAGUUAAGUUUUGAAUGCUUGAGGCUGAAUGACAAUUGGGUGAGGAGGGAUGAGGAUUAUUUACGCCUUAAUGGUUGGAUAUGCGAUGCACUGUGGUGUGGUGUUAAGGAAAUUAGCAUUAGAGUUAUGUGAAGGUUCCAUCUAACACUUGUUUGCCAAAUCUGAAGACUGCAUUUUGCAUGUUCCAUAUUUCAAGAAGGUUAUUCAGUGAUUAUGUUAAUUUCCAAUUGCCAUGUCCUGGAAAAUUUGGAAUUUACUUAUUGCGAGUUUGGUAACAUAAGCAAGCUCAAUAUCCAUAACCUUUCCCUUAAGAGGUUGGUUUUAGAUUUCGGUGAGAUGCAUGUUCAUUCUCAAAUUGGUUUCAGUGUCAUCGAGAUUGAUACCCCAAAUCUUGUUUAUUUCAAAUAUGUUGAUGAUACAAUGGUUGAAGGCUAUACGAUAAGUGACAUGAAAUAUCUAGAAAGAGCUGAUAUUGAAAUCACUCUAUUAGAUAGAGUGGAUUAUGAAGGUGCGACAAAUCUUCUCAAGGAAAUAUGCAAUGUACAGUCCCUUUGUUUAGUCAUUGAAGAUUUCUCUAAAACGCUUUUUCCGACACCUUUUGAUCCAGUGCUUGCAUUUCACAAACUCGUUGAACCGGAAUUUCGUAAUCAGUAUAAUGAAGAUUGGCAAGGAACGAGGAUUUGUGGAGUAUCUACAUUGCAUGCCUAAUCUAAAGACACUUAUCCAGGACAUGUCAAGCACGUCUGUAGAAGGGUUCAGGUCAUUGCCUACAACAGUGCCUUUGUGUUUGUUAUUUCAUAUCAAGGAGAUUGAAAUCAAACACUUUGAGGGAGAGGAGCAUAUGUUUGAAAUGAUUAGUUAUUUCUUGAAACAUGCAUCAGUCCUGG